UACGUAGGUGGCAAGCGUUGUCCGGAAUUAUUGGGCGUAAAGCGCGCGCAGGUGGUUUCUUAAGUCUGAUGUGAAAGCCCACGGCUCAACCGUGGAGGGUCAUUGGAAACUGGGGAACUUGAGUGCAGGAGAGAAGAGUGGAAUUCCACGUGUAGCGGUGAAAUGCGUAGAGAUGUGGAGGAACACCAGUGGCGAAGGCGACUCUUUGGCCUGUAACUGACACUGAGGUGCGAAAGCAUGGGGAGCAAACAGG
Molecule: ribosomal RNA, 253 nt
Filed under: uncultured bacterium
Lineage: Bacteria
Description: partial 16S ribosomal RNA
Rfam family: Bacterial small subunit ribosomal RNA
Source: RNAcentral